Molecule: long non-coding RNA, 182 nt
Organism: Megachile rotundata (alfalfa leafcutting bee)
Lineage: Eukaryota; Metazoa; Arthropoda; Insecta; Hymenoptera; Megachilidae
Gene: Uba4
Source: RefSeq, a predicted model, not a curated record
AUUACAUAUACACUUACAAAAAUAUAUUGUUGUAUAUAAAAACGCAAUAAAGGGGGUAAGUAAAUUCCAUGGAAAGUCCAGUAAGGAAAAUCCUGUCUUAUAUACUGACCAGUUGGUGCACCUUUAAGUAAAAUGUAUUAUGAAUUAAAUGUUAUGAUUAAAAUGUUUUAUACGUUCAUGUA